Molecule: ribosomal RNA, 595 nt
Filed under: Sphaerozoum trigenimum
Lineage: Eukaryota; Polycystinea; Collodaria; Sphaerozoidae
Description: eukaryotic LSU rRNA
Rfam family: Eukaryotic large subunit ribosomal RNA
Source: RNAcentral
GAAAGGAAAGUAGUCUAAUCCAUAAAUCUAUUGUGAAUGGAUGGUAACUUGUAGUCUUACUAGUUGCAUAGCUUUAUUUUAUAGCAAUCUCAAUCAAACAUGAGAUCCAAGGGGGUUUUUUGCUCGUAUGUUGACCUAGAAGAAGUUUUUUUCAACUACAUUGUCUAGUAGCGCUCUUUGGCAGUUGAGCUCGAAGCUUGUGGUGAUACUCACAAAAGACUCAUCACUGGUGAGAGACCUUUAGCGCACAAGUACCGUGAGGGAAAGAUGAAAAGAACUUUGGAGAGAGAGUUAAAUAGUAUGCAAACAUGUUGAUAGUAAGCGGAUCAAUCUAAUGAACAUUUUUCUGAAGCAAUGACAUCUAAUGUAUACUCUGAAUGACGAUAUACAUUAUAUACUUCGGGCUAGUCAGGGUGAGGUAUAUAUGCUUUUAUGUAUUUUGAUCUGACCCGUCUAGAAACACGGACCAAGGAGUCUAGUAUUGAUGCAAGUAUAUAAAAAUUAAACGUUCUUUUACAAAGGUAACUCAGAUCGUGUGCAUCAUGUCAUGAUGAUCGUAUCGCGGGCAGUGUUUUUUAUUUAGCACGAGCAUGUA